RNAcentral lists this ribosomal RNA (497 nucleotides) under uncultured bacterium. RNAcentral describes it as "partial 16S ribosomal RNA". It matches the Rfam family "Bacterial small subunit ribosomal RNA", at positions 28 to 507 of the family's 1533-position model. The record is from RNAcentral.
GAUGAACGCUGGCGGCGUGCCUAAUACAUGCAAGUCGAGCGAACAGACGAGGAGCUUGCUCCUCUGACGUUAGCGGCGGACGGGUGAGUAACACGUGGAUAACCUACCUAUAAGACUGGGAUCACUUCGGGAAACCGGAGCUAAUACCGGAUAAUAUAUUGAACCGCAUGGUUCAAUAGUGAAAGACGGUUUUGCUGUCACUUAUAGAUGGAUCCGCGCCGCAUUAGCUAGUUGGUAAGGUAACGGCUUACCAAGGCAACGAUGCGUAGCCGACCUGAGAGGGUGAUCGGCCGCACGGGAACGGAGACACGGUCCAGACUCCUACGGGAGGCAGGAGUAGGGAAUCUUCCGCAAUGGGCGAAAGCCUGACGGAGCAACGCCGCGUGAGUGAUGAAGGUCUUCGGAGCGUAAAACUCUGUUAUUAGGGAAGAACAAAUGUGUAAGUUACUAUGCACGUCUUGACGGUACCUAAUCAGAAAGCCACGGCUAACUACGUG